AACAAAGUUUUGUUUAAAUACUAUAUAUUGAAAUCGUGGAAAAUAAUAAGAGGAAUAAGAGUGCAGCGAGCCUAGCUGAGUAAUAUUUUGUGAUUAAUUUUGGAAAACUAUUGAGAUAUAUAUAUGAUAUAUAUAUUUCUCACGUGGCCAUCAAUACUGGCA
Molecule: long non-coding RNA, 162 nt
Organism: Drosophila ficusphila
Lineage: Eukaryota; Metazoa; Arthropoda; Insecta; Diptera; Drosophilidae
Exons: 2
Source: RefSeq, a predicted model, not a curated record